ACAAACAGCCAAAAAACACAUGAAAAGAUGCUUCGCGUCAUUAGUAACUAAGGAAAUGCAAAUCAAAACCAGAAUGGGAUAUCACUUCACGCCCACUAGCAUAGUUAUAAUAAAAAAAAAGAGAAAACAACAAGUGUUGAUGAGAAUGUAGAGAAAUUGGAACCCUCAUACAUUGCUGCUGGGAAUGUAAAGUGGUUCAACUGCUGUGAAAAUCAGUUUGGCAGUUCCUAGAAAGAUUAAAUAUAGAAUUACCACAUGACCUAGCAAUUUCAUUCCUAGGUAUAUACCUGAGAGAAUUGAAACAUGUGCUCACACAAAGACUCGUACAUGAAUGUUAAUAGUGGCAUUAUUCAUAAUUGCCAAAACGUAGCACCAACCAAUGUCCGCCAGCUGAUGAACAGACUAACAAAAUGUAUGUCCAUACAAUUGAAUAUUAUUUAGCCAUAAAGAGCCAAAGUGACCUGCUGAUAGGUACUACAACAUGGAUGAACCUUGACAAUAUUAUGCUAAGCGAAAGACGCCAGUCACAAAAGGUGUUAUAUGAUUUCAUUGAUAUAAAAUGUCCAGAACAGGCAAGUCCAUAGAGUGGAGGAUCCAGAAAGUGGAUUGGCACGUUGCCAGGGGGCAUGAAGGAGGAAGGGAAUUUGGACUAACAGCUAAUAGGGUUGGGGUUUCUUUUUGGGGUGAUAGAAAUGUUCUAGAAUUAGAUACUGGUGAUGGUUACACACCAUAGUGAAUAUACUAAAAACCACAGAAGUGUACAUCUUAAAAUCGUGAAUUUUAUGUUAUGUGAAUUAUACCUUAGUCAAAAUGGUAAAACAAAACAAUGAAAUUUAUGUGAGCACCUUUGCCCUCUGAAGACAGUACUUUGCAGGGGCUGAGGGAGGAAGCAGUUUCUUGUAAUUGCUGCCUAAAUGUACGUGAACACGUUGAAAAGAAUGUAUGUCUGGUGACUGCAGUUUGAAUCAUGGUGAAAACAUUUUUUAUUUCCUUCCACACCAAAUUGGGUUCAGGAGGUUUACUGAGCACUCUCAGUGGUUCUCUGUGAAUUAAACAGUGUUCAAACCGGCAUUCAUGUGAUGAUAAUAAUAAUUAAACUUUACUGAGUAUUUCCUACAUGCCAGACAAUGCCCUAAGUCCUUUAUAUGGAUUUCUUCACUAAUCUUUACCAGUAAUUAUUAUUACUAUUAUUAUCAUCAUUCCUAAUUUUCAGGGGAAAAAACCGAAGCAGAGAGAGGGACAAGCUCUUUUAUUAGAAUUUCACCUCUCUGCCUUCUUGCUCCCAAAGCCAGUGUUCUCAUUUGUGUUGAUUCCAACAUGUAUUUUUCACUCACAAAAUAAACUCUAACAGCACAAGAUACUUUUCUCUAGUAGUAGGGACUUUUAGAGAUAAACAGAAAAAAAUUCACUGACUACUUUGCCCUCAUGUUUUCCUCCUUUUAAAAGCUACUUCACAGUCUGUAUAAGAGGAUUUUAGCCAACCGUAGAGAACUGAAUGCCAACAUACAUACGUGAUGGCGACUGCUUGCCAUUGUUAUGUGACAUCCAACAAUGGCAUUUGAUAAAACUCUUUCUCUCCUAGUCUUUAUGUCACUAACUUCACAACUGGUUUGUCCGUCUUGUUUGUCGUGGCGUGACUCGCACCUGUAUUUGCUCUGAGGCGUGAGGGCAAAUGUGAGUCAUGUGUUAUAUUCUUGGUGGCUUUCUCUCUCUUUGGCACAAAAUUAAACUUUUCUUCUGGGAAAUGCUAUUUCGUGCUUCUUCUGGAAAAAAUCAGUAGGCUCUGACUGUGACCCACACAAAAGCUUUGAUGACUUUGAGCCAGGAUUUGACAUUUCACAGCCGAUGCUGCCUUGGGGCCAAGAGGUGGCUACGCAAUAAAGCUCAAUUUCCAGAUAAUCCUUGCGGUGGUUUCUAUCCGCAGUUUCUUUUGCUUAUUGUGCAAAAUAAUCACGCUUCCCUUUUCCUCCCUCCCAGCCCCUGUGGACAUAUUCUAUCCACCCUGAAAUCUGGUUCCCUGUUUAUGGAUCACUGUUCUAAGUUGUCGUCUCUCUUACUAUUUUCAUGGCUACUUUUAUGAGUCAACGAAGCACUUUUGAACCAUUCAUGACUUUUUGUAAUUUGGGGAUGUAACAUAGCUCAACGGUGUGAAUACAUAAAGCACAUUUUAAAGCAUAAACAAAAACAUGCAUAUGACAGGAAAACAAGAUUAGCCAAGGUAAACUGCCCCUAUUAAUUAAAGCAGUCCUGAAAACUUUGAGUGCAAUCAUGAUUAAGGACGUAAUAACUAUUAACACAGUGAGACUUCCGUGAUAUCGUCAUCAAUGCCGUAUUUCAAAUUUGCAAAACUUAGGGAACAAAAUCGUUCAUCACUUUCCCCCCUGAAACUACUGGUCUCCUGAGGACCCAUUGAUGCAACUGCCCUUGGAAACAGUUCACUGCUUCAAGAGAUUUUAAAUUCCUCAGAGACGGGCCGUGGGGAAGAUGACCAAGGACAGCUAGGUGGACAGAGGCUAUCUGAAGUGUGGAGGGGAGACUCGGAGAGGGGACUCAGGAGCACGUUCCCACGGAGUCCAUUUCCUCCUCUGGCCGCGGAGUCCUAUGCGAUGGCUACAGCCCACCACAAGAGGGCACUGUAGAACCAGGGAUGCCAGCCUCCGACCCGGCGGAUCUAUUAGUAGUAUUCUCCUCCAGGCGAUUUCCAGCAGCUACCCAACACUCUGUUCUUUCAUCAUAUUAAUUUUGUUUUUCUCUCUUAUGUUCAGAGUUCCUAACCUGGUGACUUUGGUCAGGCUUCUGAUGCUCAGUGAACAUCUAGAAUUUACAUGUAAAAUAUGCAUGCCUGUGAUUAGCUGCAUUUUUCUAUCUAGAGGGAGCUUUCAUAGUUUUGAUCAAACUCUCAAAGGGACUUGUGACCUCCCCAGCCCCAAAAGCAGUAGCAUUUCUUUGAAGGUGUAGAAGACAGUGAUAUGAAGUACUUAUGUCAUUGUUGUCUACGUCUUCAAGCACUUCAUAUAUGUUAUUUAACAUAAUCCUCGAAACUACCUUGCAACAUAUCCCCACAAAGAACAGAAGUUCAAGAAGGCGAAAGGACUUUGCCCGGGUCACACAGCUACCAAGUGACAAGGCUGUGAUGUCAUUCUAGGAAGGGCUGACUCUCACUGCGCUGUUGCCACAAUGAAAAAAAAGUGAGAGACUCAUUUGUUGACUAGCAAAGAUGUAGGACGUACUGAGUGUGGUCCAGCCGCCCACGUGCUGGGUGCCAGGGACCAAGCGGGGAGCGAAGCAGCCUUGCUUCCUGCCUUCAGGGCUUAGCGCCUGGAGGUGGGGGCGGCGGAGGGGGUCAUGUUAGUGGGAAACAGACAGUAAACAAAUAAACAUGUAAUUGCAAAUUGAGAAAAGUACUCUGAAGGAAAUAAACAGAGGACAGCGACAUAGAAAAGUGGGGAAAUCUACAGACAGGUUGGCCAGGGAAGGCCUGUCUGAGGAAAUGGCAUGUGAGCUCAGACUAAAGGAUGAAGGAGCCUGCCGUGGGCAGAGGUGGAGACAGAGCCUUCCAGGAAAGGGCGAGCUGCCUGGGGAUGCAUCUGAGAGGCAGCCGGUGGCUGAGCAGGGAACCAGGAGCAAAGGCAAGAGUGACAGUGAAACAGAAGUCAUCAGCGCUUUCCGUGUUAGGCAGUGGAGAGACAGUAGCGAACAAAACAGACACAAAGAAAUCCUUGCCCCGUGGAGCUGGCUUCCUAGCAGGAGAUGUGUUUAGACUGAACCACCUGCCGGACAAGCCUGAACCAACUGCUGGACACGACUGAACCACCUUAGGUUUGUUCUUGAUGUGAAAGCCACCAGCAGGUUAAGUUACUCACGGGUGCUGGGAUCCAGAUGUGGAGUGAAUUACAAGAGUGUGUCACUUUUGGUGCCUGGGGGUGUGACACUGGAGGGAAAUGGAAAGAGGGCCAGGACUUGGUGUCUAAGGCCUGGAGCUGUGUGACCUUGAAUAAAUCAUUUACUUUUCUUGAAACUUGCCUGUUAGCUGAUCCGUAAAGUGGGGGAGUAAUCCCUCAUUCCCGGAAUUGUUGUGGAAUUAAAUGAAAGUGUUGCUUAAAUAA
Equus caballus (horse) is the source of this 4106-nucleotide non-coding RNA. The record is from RefSeq and is a predicted model, not a curated record. Lineage: Eukaryota; Metazoa; Chordata; Mammalia; Perissodactyla; Equidae.